GUAGAAACGUUGAUGGGAACUAGUAGGACGUCUGUUUUUCCAAAGAGAGCCGGUGGUUGGUGCGAACCGGUGAAAAGCGCGUGUGAAUCCACCCCUGAGUUGCAUGGCGACAGAAGCCAUUGCCGGUUUAAAGGCCGUUAUGUAAUGAAGAGGACUGGCUUUUGCCGGUCAAUCAGGGUGGCAACGCGGGUAGCUCUCGUCCCUUUU
Molecule: non-coding RNA, 207 nt
Filed under: Planococcus massiliensis
Lineage: Bacteria; Bacillati; Bacillota; Bacilli; Caryophanales; Caryophanaceae
Also listed under: 1 other name
Description: T-box
Rfam family: T-box leader
About the family: Uncharged tRNA acts as the effector for transcription antitermination of genes in the T-box leader family. T-boxes are found upstream of many aminoacyl-tRNA synthetase genes and some amino acid biosynthetic genes usually in Gram-positive bacteria. The anticodon of a specific tRNA base pairs to a specifier sequence within the T-box motif, and the NCCA acceptor tail of the tRNA base pairs to a conserved bulge in the T-box antiterminator hairpin.
Source: RNAcentral